Molecule: RNA transcript, 9837 nt
Organism: Dunckerocampus dactyliophorus (ringed pipefish)
Lineage: Eukaryota; Metazoa; Chordata; Actinopteri; Syngnathiformes; Syngnathidae
Gene: lingo2
Gene name: leucine rich repeat and Ig domain containing 2
Exons: 5
Source: RefSeq, a predicted model, not a curated record
GCAUCCAUCCAGAGACGAUGUUCCGGAGAGGAGGGUUCCAAGUGGAGAAGCAAAAGCGACAACCACGAGAAGGAGGAUAUCGAGAGGAAUAGUCCACACUCCUUGUCUCCUAUCGCCCCCACUUGUCUGGGCUGAGGUGUGUGAAAGUUUCCAUUUGGAGAGGGACACCCCAUCCUCCUCCCUUUUUUCCUGCUGGUCGUGGGGGUGCAUCGCUGGCUGCAGCCGUGGGGAGGAAGAGGCGCAGCAGACAGAGGAGAUCUUCGUUUUUCAAGUUCAGCAUCGAAGAGGUGGAAUAUAGACGGACGAAGCCCCCCCCGCCCCCCUCGCCCCUUGGCUUUUGUCUUUUUACCCCUGAGUCCACACGGAUUAGGCGUGAAGGACGCCGUGCAGCCCCCCCUCUCCCCGCCUCAAGUAAGUUCUGGUCAGAAUUGGGCUCGGAUUCUCUGAGAGACUUGAGGAGGAUUUUGCGUGUGUUGUGGGGGGGACUGAUGGACUACACGUUGCCGCUGGGCUAAAAGACUCCAUCUGUUUGGGCAGCCAUCUUCACAUCUGUGCUCCUCCACCACGAAGAGCCUGGAGUGAAAACCUGUGAACAGCAUCGCACGCAGUGGAGGUGAUCUUACGGCGACAUUUUUAACAGUGACCGGAAAGCCUUGCAGAUAAAGAGUGAAAAUCGGGGAGACCACCGUGAAGAGCGGGCCAUGGCUGAAGGGAUGAUUGCUUCUCAAAGUGGUAAGUUAGUUUAUUCUUCCUACAGUAUUUACCAUUCUGCUCACUCUUACUGUUGCCAGCAAUAGAAGGCGUUCAUUUUACGUUUGUUUUCCCUUAAAUAAAAUAAACACCUUCACCUGCGGUUGUUUGUGCUGCAGUUAGUGGCCUCGAGUCACUAUGUUAGCAAUGCAUGGGAGACGGCGUGCAUUAAAUAUCACUGGCAUCUCAGUUAAACCUUAAUGAAAGAACUUCAUCCCUCUGUGCUCUCCACUCUCUGACAGGCUAGAAAGAACAUUUGGUCUUCUGUUGCCAUGGAGACAAUUGUAUUUGUUCUGAGUGUAGCCGCUCUUGGCUUUCACAAAAUGUCUGACGCACUUCUGCUUUUUUUUCAUGUUAUUUUACUUCUGGUUGGGGAGGUUAAUUGAUGAAGACGAAUGAGUGAGGAUUAAAGAAAAGAUUGUGUGCCUGGGUGUGUUUGUGAUUACAACACAAACUCUGCAGCAGCCAGGGAUGAUAAAGCGAUGCAGAGGUUGUACUUUUUGUUAGCGUGUGUGUGUGUGUGAGUGCAGCACACACACGUAUAUUCACUAUACUGCGAAAAGAGUCUGUGAGUGAAGUCCAGAGUUGGAGAAAAACAUUGACUCACUAACUCGGACGAGUGCUGUCAUGUAGUUUCAGGCUCGGCGAGGUGGUUAGGAUUCCGCACGCGUUUGAUCGGCAUGCUCCGCUGUGUUCUGGAGGGAACAAGGUGCAUGUUUGAGGUGUGCUGGCGUUGUUAUAUAAGCCGGCGUUGACACCAGGCUUUUUUUUCCGGAAAGACGACAGCCGUGCCUUUUUUUUUUUUUCUCACCUACAGUAUGUCACAUUUUGGACUGCUGCUUCCUUACACAUACCUCAUUAUUUUAUUGAUAGAAGCUUUUCUUAACAUGGAAACCCAACGUAGUUAAAAUGUACAUUGGGUUGGCAUUUUAUUGUAGGCGAUCUAAGGCACACCUGCGCAAUAAUCAUGCUGUCUAAUCAGCAUCUGAAUAUGCCGCGCCUGUGAGGUGACUUAUGAAAGAUGAAUGCUCACUAACACAAUAUUUGAAAGAGAGUCUAUGCCGUUUGUGUGCAUAGACAACCUUCGAGUUCAGCUCAUAAAAAAUUAGGGAAAAAAAAAAAAGUGUUGCUUUUAUCCAUCUUUUUUUCCAUUCCGCUUAUCCUCACUAGGGUCGCGGGGGCAUGCUGGAGCCUAUCCCAACUGACUUCGGGCGAGAGGCGGGGUACACCCUGGACUGGUCGCCAGCCAAUGGCAGGGCACAUAUAGACAAACAACCAUUCACACUCACAUUCAUACCUAUGGACAAUUUAGAGUCGCCAAUUAACCUAACGUGCGUGUUUUUGGAUGUGAGAGGAAAGCGGAGUACCUGGAGGAAACGCACGCACGCACGGGAGGACAUGCAAACUCCACACAGAGAGCGGAGAUUUGACCCAGAUCUUCCCGAUCACCUGACUGUGUGGCUUGUGUGACUGUGUGCUAACCACUCAGCCACCGUGCGUCCCGUGUUGCCUUUCUAUUUUUGAAAUGUAUAUAGAUGAGGGGCGUCCAAACUUUUUCCAGCGAGGAGCACAUACUGAAAAAUGAAAGGAUGCGAGGGCCAUUUUGAUAUUUUGUAAAGCAGCACAUGUAGAUAUGCUAAAAAGUUCCCAGAAAAACAUGCAUCUCAGCUUUGUGAUAGAGGUGAAAAACAUUAUUAGUUUGAACUUUGGUCUUUGCUUUUUUCAUGUUUUUGCUGCUGUUUUUUUUUAUGUUAUUUUCAAAAUAUUUCUGCUUUCUUCUUAAAUAAUCUUCAUAAAUGUAAUUUUCGCAAUAUUAUGACUUUAUUCCCCUAAUUACUUUUCCCUCAAACUAAUAUUACAAAAAUUAAAACUUUUAUUUUGUUUUGCUUGUUUCUCAUAAUAUUAUGACUAAUAUCACAAAAAAUAAUUAAAAUAAGUAAUAACCAUCCAUCCAUCCAUCCAUCCAAACAAUUUCUUCCGCUUAUCUGGGUUUGGGUCACGGGGGCUGCAGUCUCAGUAGGGAAGUCCAGACUUCCUGGUCUCCAGCCACCUCUUCCAGUGUGUCCUCUGUCCGCCCUGUGUGGCCUUCUCCUGGCUGGGCAUGCCCGGAACGUCCGGGAGGCAUCCGGACUAGAUGUCCGAGCCACUUCAACUGGUUCCUCCCGAUGUGAAGGAGCAGCGGCUCUACUCUGAGCCCUUCCCGGAUGAUCGAACUCCUCACCCUAUCUCUUAAAGUGAGUGCAGCCACCCUAUAGAGAAAACUCAUUUCCGCCGCUUGUAUCCGCGAUCUCGUUCUUUCGGUCACGACAAAAAGCUCAUGACCAUAGGUGAGGGUGGGAACACAGAUCGACCGGUAAAUGGAGAGCUUUGCCUUUCGGCUGAGCUCUCUCUUCACCAUGACGGUCCGGUACAGCGACUGCAUUACUGCUCCGGUUGUACAAGUACGAAAUGGCACGUAGUAGCAUACCACCCAUGGAGUACUUAUAAUUUUUGUAAAUUGUGACCUGUGACUCUGUGCAUACCCUUUUUGGUUAAUAUUUAUGUAUUCAUUUUUUUUAUUUUAUUUUUAAUUUUUUUUUCGCUCCUUUCACGUUUGUCCUAAAAUAUUCCAAAAAUAUAGUAAAAAAAUAAUAAAUUUUCGGAAUUAAAAAAAAAAAAACUACAAUCAAGUGACGGAGCAAUGUUCGAACCACAAUGUAGCGAGCACGACUGUGGUAAAAAUAAUCAAAUCAAAAAAUAAACUUUUUGACUUUUUCUUCCAUCAUUUUUCUCUCAAUAUCUUUACUUUAAUAUCGUUAAAUUACAGCUGUUUUUUUCUUUUUUUUCAUAAUUAUGACUUACCAUAAUAUUUUAUAUUUAUAUAUACUUCAUUCUUUUAAGAUUACGACAUUCUCCGCAACCUAAAAUGGCAAAUUAACAAAAAUUACAACUUUAGUCGUUGUUUUGUUUGUUUCUACUACAACUUUUUUUAAAAAUCCUUCUUUUUUCUUUAUUAUUUCAAUUGUAUGCUACUAAAAUGACAUGAUUUUUCCUCAAAAUAUUUCUUAUUAUUCUUGUAAAUCUUGUAAAAUUCUUUAGAUUGCAACUUUUUUCUCUCAAUAUUUUGACUUCAUUCUUGUAAAAUGACUGCUGAUUUUUCAGGUUUUGCUGUUGUUUUUUUUAUUUUUGAAAUGUUCUUGUUAGAUUAUAUUUUUAGAAUGUGCCGAGGGCCACAAAUGGCCCCUGGGCCUCACUUUGGUCAUCCCUCAUAUAGAUAUAUUUAAAGAGAGGGGUAGUAGAGGCUUGCAGGCAUGUUGAGUUCUUGUGGAAAAAACAGCAUUCGACUUUGUGAGGGCAGGGCAGUAGCGUCACAAUACUUUGGACACGACUCUGAAGCUUUGACAGUAGGUAGGCGAAUAUGCCGGUUGUCUCACGUUGCUUUGUGGAUGCAGCACCUCAUGCAUCAAACAUACGACGGGAACCCUCCAAGGGGCUUCCAAAGGGAGUUCAGUCCGCCAUAAACAGAGUCAUCCUUACGGUCGCAAGAAGUCCACUGACUUCAACAUACUGUGCUCUGUGUGUCCAAAUACUGUGUUAUGGCACUCCUGGACGUGGCAGCUCGCAUAGAAAUCUUUCUAGACAGAUUUUCUUUACUUUGGGAUUUUGUUUAGUUUUUUUUCUACAUAUUCAGUCUCUUGUUUUUUUUAAGUUAUGUUGAGCUGUGGUUUUAAAGCAAUUUUACCAGUCACAAUGGUGGCCCCAAAUGUUUGUCACCGCUAAUUAAAAUAGUCAAUGACAUUUAAAGACAUGCAGCCUGACUAGUUCUACGUUACAGUGAUCCUCGCUACUUUGAUUUUUGCGGCUUCACUCUGUCACGGUUUGUCAAAAAUAUGUAAAUUAAUAAAUCAUGCUAUUUUGUGGUUGAAUACAGCUUAUUUUUAGUAAACAAUGUAUUCAUAUUUAAACAAAUUUUACCUAUUUUCCCUUAAUGAAGCAUUUUCAAACAUGAAAAUGGCUAAAUGAAGUAAAAUACAAAUAUAAGGCAUUCGGAAGAUGCAUUGAAAGACGUGAUGAUGUGUAGUAUUCACGCUGGUCACUAACACGGGCUACUGUUGAGCUAAAACUCAACUUUCAACCCCCGACGUCACUUCCUGUCUACCUGCCAGUCAGCUUCCCUGGCAUCCAAACACAUUUACAGCAACACACACAAGCAUUAGUAUUACUUAUGUCUUAAAUGGCUUAGUACAGAAACCAGGAGUAAAAUAGAAACAAAAACAAGGAACUCUCCCAAUGCUAACAUGCGCAAAUCUAUUUUAUGUUAUUUAUGUCUCAUAUGUCUUAUUUUCUCUUAUUAUUUCUACUAUAUUGGGUAAUAGGAGUUUAAAGAUGACUAUGGGGUCUUAUUUCAUGUUUGGAGGGCUCUAAUAAUGUUAAAACCUGUAUUUAGACAGUUGAAAAACAAAAAAAAAAAAAAAGGUUUUCUGCGGUCUAGCAAUGAAAAUAUUUCUAUUCAUAAAUAAGGACUCAUACUUCGUGGAAAUGAAUUUAUCACAGGUCUGGAACUAAUUAACCGCGAUAAAGGUGGGAUUACUGUACAUAGUCCCUUUUUAUAGGGGAUCCUCCAGUGAAACACAUCCAACUUUUCAAACCUACAUUAGGUUUGUUUUACUAUGGAACAAGACUAUUUGUGGAUCUUCAAAUAUGUCUAUACUGGGGUGCUCUGAUCAGGGUUGUAUGCUGCUACCGAUCACAUAGAUUAAGUGCACAAUUUUAAAUGUACUCUUGGUUAUAUCAGGGGUCGCCAACGUUUUGUCUUGCGAGAGCUACUUUUACAGAAUGAAAAUGGCCAAGAGCUACUCAUUUUGGCAACAUUUAUUUUCAUAGCUUAUAUCAACCCAAACAAAGCGAAUAUGCUUGUUUUACCAGAACAUCAACAAAAUGCUGGUUUCCACAAAUCACAUUUUGUAUUUCAGAAUGCAUUUCUUUCUACUGUUCUCACAUUGUUAACUGAAAAGCUGAAUGAAAAGCAGGCUUAGAGGCGCCUCAUGUGGUCAUGGGGGGCUCCCUGGUGCCCCUGGGCUAUAUGAUAUGAAAGGGGAACAAUAACAUUUAGAGAAAAACAUAUUUGACUUACUUUUUCAAAAUCACUUGUGAAAUUUAGGAGCAGGCGCCUUCUUUAAGGAGAAUUAAGGAGAAAUGGUGGCGCUCCAGCAGGGCCGACGCAUCCAAUCACUUUUCGGACUAUCCGCCUUAGAUCGGCAUAUGCCGAUACUGUGCUUUUUCACGGGAAUUGAUCGGAGCGGUCCUAGUAUAUCCUUUUUUGUCAUUAUAUAAUUGAGUGCUCCAAAUAUUCUUCAUGAUGUACACUCAACAAAAAUAUAAACGCAACACUUUUGUUUGGCUCCCAUUUUUCAUGAGCUGAACUCGAAGAUGUAAAACUUUUUCUAUGUACACAAAAGGCCAAUCUCUCUCAAAUAUUGUUCAAAAAUCUGUCUAAAUCUGUGUUUGUGAGCGUUCAAAAUUCAUCUACCUCUCAAAUGUGGCAUAUCAAGAUGCUUUAGGUUGGCCACAAUAAAAGGCCACACCAAAAUAUGCAGUUGUACUGCACGGAUAUGCCCAAACGGAUAUUUGAACCUUUGAUCUCCCCUAGGAUCACCUUGUAGCCUGUAGCCUUAAUCGGAAUGCAUUUUUGACAGCCUCAUACAUGCCUGUGUCAACCGAAACUUUAGGUCAUAUCAUCACAUAAACUGGAAAAUGCUCCCAACCAGAAUAUAAAGUCAUCAUUGCACACGCUCACUGCUCAGAUCGCAAAGGAUCGUGGGAUUUGUUUGGGUCUGGCAUGGCGUCGAAUGGAAACGAUAAUGUUUUGCAUUUCUGGAGUGAGGAGGAAACCAUAGGGAUCCUUCAUGACUUAAAUAGAAAAGUUGUUUGGUGUACUUGAAAGGAAUGUUGACAGGUUGUACAAUCAGGUGCUCCUGUCAAUGGCGGCCAUUGUUGAUACCAUGUAUACAAAUGUUUUUCAACAUAUGACGCAAAACUGCCAAGGCAACACAUACAAAAACAUAAAGGCAAGCGUUUUUUUCUUAAGGGUCCAGCUUUUUGGUGGAAAUAACAAUAAAAUGUUUUGUUUUGAUUCUGUGACGUUAUUACCAACAAUAUUGCAAAUACAGCAGAAGCUCUGUUAGGGUGUUUUUAGGUUAUCGUUAAAAAUUUACAUCAAAAUUUAGCCUUUGGUUUGCAUACAUUUUCUGGUUAGUGUACAAUAUGGCAUGAAUCUUUUUUGUGUUAAGACAUUGUGUGAGUCCAAUUGUGUUCUUUAUGUAUUUUUAUCACAACACGCAGCUUACAUGGAAACAGGAACCAGAAUUCAGCUCUGUCGCUUGUCUGUGAUGUCAUCAGCGGUUGACUCUGUAGUGCAGGGGUGUCAAACUCGUUUUCAUUGAGGGCCACGUCGCAGUUAUGGCUGCCGUCAGAGGGCCACUUGCCACCAGUAUAUUUGAAUAUAAAUAUGAAUAUCACCUCAUGAUAUUAUUACACAAUUGUCGAUGUAUUUAUUACAUUUUUACUAGCAAUUGAUGGAUAACUUGCUUGGAAAUGGGUGAAUUGAGUGAAGGGAAAAUGUCAAGGUGACAAGCAGACACGUAUUUGUUUUUGUGGAGUAUCUUGUUGCAUGGUCAGAUAAUAUUCAAGUGUAGAAGAACUGCAUGCGGUACAAUUUUUCUGUCAAAAUGAAAGAGCAAAUACAUUUAGAAGGAAAAAAGUGAAGUACAUUUUUGACAGACAUUAUUCACAGGCUUUCGCAGACCACAUAAAAGGCGAGCCACAUCCUUGAGUUUGACACCUGUGCUGUUGUUUUUGGCUAACUAACACAGUCACACCACAAGUCUCAAAAAUGAACACAAAACACAUUUUUAUUGUUUCCAAUUGUAAUUUUACACGCAUACAACAAUUGUAAGUGUAUGUAAAUAAUGAAUGAAAGGGACAAAUGAACAUUUAUUGGUGCCAAAGACGCGAUGUGGCAGCGAGAUCAACACAGGCACCACCUUCCUGUUUGUGAGUUAUUUCUUGAAUUCAUAAAUGUUUCUCACCUUCUUUAUAAAAAUUCUGGCACUUCCAACUUCCUUUGGCUCCUUGGGGGGUUAUUUUGCAGCUGCGUUGCUCUCGUUAAAUGUUCAUUUAAUCCUUUCACUCAUCAUUUUAUAUGUAUUAAUAUGCCGUUCAAUUUUGUUUCUGCAUGUAAAACUAUAAUUGUAAAACUUUUGUUUUAUUUAGUUUGUUUUAUUUUUGGAUUUCUGGAACACAGUCUUUGUAUUUACAUUAUUUCUUAAUCGUUUUUUCUACCCGUUUCGGUUAGAGUCGGAUCUUCUGGAACGGAUUAAUGAUGCCAACCAAGUUUGCACUGUGUGCUGAUUAACAUUGGUGCGUACACUGGAAUAUUCUUAUUCUUGUCUUAAAGAAACCUGAACGGGAAUAUCGCGUGCAUGUAAGCGUGGCCGUUGUGUUCAUUUUAGAUGACACAGAUACCGUGAGGGUGCCAACAUGAGAAUUAAGACAGCUAAGAGCAGGAAAGGAGGACAGAAGAUAGUCACGGUGACGAGUGUCUUGUGAAAGGGUGAGAUGAAAGAAGAUGAAAGGAUUAAUGUGCACACACCAGCGUCAGUGGAUGUGACAUUAUUUUAUGUUGAAGAUGACAGAAAACACAAGCCGACAAUGUCAUUAUGCGUUAAAACCAUUUUUUUAUACCCCCGAUUAGAUGACGGGGCACAGACGUGGACUCUCUUAUCUUUUUAAGGACUUUGAUGUGUCACAUGGGUAUUAAUUAUGAACGAUGAGCCAGAUCAUCAUAUUGCAACAGCAUUUAUGGCUUCCGGGCCACAUUGGGUUAAAAAAUGUCAAAGGAGGGCCGGCUAUACUGUAUAUAUGUAUACUGUAUAUAUUUGGGCUGUCUAAAAUAAUGUGUUAAUAGCAGUGGCAAGUUUAUGUAAUUGAUUACAUUAAACUGUUUAGAGUGAUGGAUGCUGAGGGACUGUCUUGGCCGACACGUCUCUUCAACAUUGCAUGGAAGUCAGGAACAUUCCCUCUGGAGUGGCAGACCACCUUUUUAAGAAGGGUGGCCAGAGGGUGUGUUCCAACUAUAGGGGAAUCAGACUCCUCGACCUCCUUGGGAAAGUCUAUUCCAGGGUGCUGGAGAGAAGGGUACGACCGCUACAGGAGUUGCAAUGUGAUUUUCGUACCAGUCGUACAACACUGGACCAGCUCUACACUUUUGCAAGGGUACUGGAGGGUACAUGCGAGUUUGCCCAACCGGUCUACAUGUGCUUUGCAGACUUGGAAAAGGCAUUCGACCGUAUCCCUCGUGGUGUCAUGUGGGGGGUGCUCUGGGAGUACAGGACUGGUGGCGCGCUACUACUGCCAUUCGGUCCUUGUAGAACCGGAACAGCAGCCUGGUUCGCAUUGCCAGCAGUAAGUCCAGCCUGUUUCCGAUUAACAUUGGCCUGAAUGUUGGCCUCCACCAAGGCUGCUCUUUGUCACCGAUUCUGUUCAUAAUUUGCAUGGACAGAAUUUUAGGCGCUGCCAAGCCGUCGAGGGAGUUCAAUUUGGGGGCCUUAGGAUCUCGUCUCUACUAUUCACAGACGAUGUGGUACUGAUGGCCUCAUUGGGUUGUGAUCAUCAGUGUUUACUGGGGUGGUUUGUAGCUGAGUGUAAGGCUUCUGGGAUGAGACUCAGCACCCCCAGUCGGAGGCCAUGGUUCUCACUCGGAAAAGGGUGGAUUGCAUCAGAGAAAUAUAUAGUUGACUUUGUGUCAAAAAGGUAUUUAAGACACGCCCUGAUUGAUUUAUGGCCCCCUGUCAUAAAAGUUUAUGUUAUGGCAAUAAAACAAACAUUUAAUACAUUGUUUGAGUUCUUUGCUCAGUCCGUGCCAUAAUUGUGUUCCACAAGGUUUUGUGUUGUUUUUGCAUGCAAAUGUUUAAGUAAAAUUUUUCCCUCUUAUUUUGCCAUUGAGAUUUUUUUUUUUUGUAGUAGUAGUAGUAGUAGAGGGUAUAGUUUGGAUUGGAAUUGUAGCAGAUCAGUGAAUUUCAAUAAUUGUGAUGCACAGAAAACAGGAUG